GCUGACGAGUGGCGGACGGGUGAGUAAUGUCUGGGAAACUGCCUGAUGGAGGGGGAUAACUACUGGAAACGGUAGCUAAUACCGCAUAACGUCGCAAGACCAAAGAGGGGGACCUUCGGGCCUCUUGCCAUCGGAUGUGCCCAGAUGGGAUUAGCUAGUAGGUGGGGUAACGGCUCACCUAGGCGACGAUCCCUAGCUGGUCUGAGAGGAUGACCAGCCACACUGGAACUGAGACACGGUCCAGACUCCUACGGGAGGCAGCAGUGGGGAAUAUUGCACAAUGGGCGCAAGCCUGAUGCAGCCAUGCCGCGUGUAUGAAGAAGGCCUUCGGGUUGUAAAGUACUUUCA
Molecule: ribosomal RNA, 348 nt
Filed under: uncultured bacterium
Lineage: Bacteria
Description: bacterial SSU rRNA
Rfam family: Bacterial small subunit ribosomal RNA
Source: RNAcentral